AGUGAACGCUGGCGGUAGGCCUAACACAUGCAAGUCGAACGGCAGCACAGUAAGAGCUUGCUCUUACGGGUGGCGAGUGGCGGACGGGUGAGGAAUACAUCGGAAUCUACUUUUUCGUGGGGGAUAACGUAGGGAAACUUACGCUAAUACCGCAUACGACCUACGGGUGAAAGCAGGGGAUCUUCGGACCUUGCGCGAUUGAAUGAGCCGAUGUCGGAUUAGCUAGUUUGCGGGGUAAAGGCCCACCAAGGCGACGACCCGUAGCUGGUCUGAGAGGAUGAUCAGCCACACUGGAACUGAGACACGGUCCAGACUCCUACGGGAGGCAGCAGUGGGGAAUAUUGGACAAUGGGCGCAAGCCUGAUCCAGCCAUACCGCGUGGGUGAAGAAGGCCUUCGGGUUGUAAAGCCCUUUUGUUGGGAAAGAAAAGCAGCAGGUUAAUACCCCGCUGUUCUGACGGUACCCAAAGAAUAAGCACCGGCUAACUUCGUG
Molecule: ribosomal RNA, 492 nt
Filed under: uncultured bacterium
Lineage: Bacteria
Description: partial 16S ribosomal RNA
Rfam family: Bacterial small subunit ribosomal RNA
Source: RNAcentral